RNAcentral lists this long non-coding RNA (207 nucleotides) under Elaeis guineensis (African oil palm). RNAcentral describes it as "long non-coding RNA (EGUI_LNC022597)". Lineage: Eukaryota; Viridiplantae; Streptophyta; Magnoliopsida; Arecales; Arecaceae. The record is from RNAcentral.
UGCAAGGAGCUAUGAUUCGAUAAACAGAAGCUGAUCAUGGAAAUUGUGGAGCGUUUGAUAGGGAUUACAUUAUAUACGUGAAAGGCUUGCUUAUGUGUUUGUGCGCGCGCGCGCGUAUGUGUGUGGUUGCCUUCUGUGCUCCUUUCUGUUGCCAAAUAAAAUAAAAGGUUGUGAACGAAAUGAAUCCAUGAUGUUCACCAGAAAAAA